Fukomys damarensis (Damara mole-rat) is the source of this 3047-nucleotide long non-coding RNA. RefSeq lists it as uncharacterized. NCBI's taxonomy places the organism in Eukaryota, Metazoa, Chordata, Mammalia, Rodentia, Bathyergidae. The record is from RefSeq and is a predicted model, not a curated record. The transcript has 3 exons.
UCCUCCAUUACGUAGAAAGUUUGAAGGUCAGUAUUCUGAAAGAAGAGUCUGAUGGAUGAAAUUUACACUUACAAUGCAAAAAUAUUAGUAACAGGAAUAUGUAUACUACUGCGCCCAUAUCACUAAAUGCAGUGCCAUGAGGCACUCUGUAAUUUCAGUCACAGCAGAUGUACGGGUGAGCUGUUUCAUUGCUGGGACAAAAUUCCUGACAUACACACCUUAAACAGGGAAUGAUUUAUUUGGCUUAAGGCUUCAGAGGUUUCAAUCCAUGGUAAAUUGGCUCCAAGGCAUACACACUGUGGUGGAAAGGCUCAGUGGGGCAAAGCUACUCUCCAUAGCAGCCAGAAAUAAAAGCAGGUUGGGAAGCGAGCCAUAGAGGAAGGGCUAGAAACCAGAUCUAUCCCCAAGGCCACACCCCAUGACCCACCCAGACACAGAGUGCCCUGUACUAAUCUGCGAGGCAGGUGUCUCUUAAUUGAGUUUAAUUUGACAAUCAGAAUUAUAGGUCAGAGAAAAGAAGCAAAGAAAAUUUAAAUACUUUUAACAGUCAGAGAACAAGUUAUCGGUACAUAGUCUAUGAUACACAUGCAACUUCAUCUUUUUCUCCUCCCCGCCCCUCUACAUGGUGUAUUCCCUGGGGGAGGUAGGCUUUACCCCCAUAUGGGUUGAAAAUUCCGGUGUAACUUCUACUCACUCUCAGGAAAGCUUAUCAUCACUCACCAACUAGACUGCUCAGUUUGCCGGUUACACUGCAUAGGAUCAAGCAGUUGUCAAAACUCCAAACUACAUUUAGAAUUGUCUCCCUCCCCCAGGUGAUUUCUCUAGGGCCUCCCUAACUGCAGCUGUCAAGGGAAAGGGAAAGCCGGGUCUUCUAGCCACUGUGCCGCUCCCCAGUUCCUGGUUCUCCAGUGGUUUAUGCAGCACAAAGUGCUCUCUCUUAGUGUGUUUGCUCCUCCUGGCUGUUCUCUCUCUCUGUGUCUUAGGUGGGUCCAGUUCAUGAGAAACAUGUAUAUUCUUUACUUGGUUCUUGAUGUCAGUGUUGCUACUUCUCAAAUUCAGCGCUCUCUCUCUCUCUCUCUCUCUCUCUCUCUCUCUCUCGUCUCUCUCCUCUGUUAGGUAGCCCUAGUCUCUUAAUCCUCAACCAUGAGCAAGAAAUUAAAUCCAAUGAUCCCAUAACUGCACAACAGGAAAGGGAUGAGAGACUGAGUUUGCCAAUUUGUCCCAUACACGUGGGCAAGCCCAGAUAAGGUCAGCAGACUUGAUCUGCCGACCUAGAAAUUUACUAUAUUUGUAUGCAUGAGAUCAACUUGGACCAGCUAAUCCCUAGCCAAUCUCGGACUUGUGAGGUGAAUAAAAUUCUUGUCUGGAGUGGUUGGUUAGCAGCAAUAGUUGACUGAUACAUCUGCUCUUUCUUGGCUUGGGACUGAAUCUCAUCACCUUGCAGGGAGAUGGAGUAAGACGCCCCAGCCCAUCGCGCCCCUCCCCAAGCACAUUUCUUCCUAAAUCCUCCCAUGCUUUUACAGCUUUCAAUCAUGUUAGAUCUUUCCAGUGAUUUUUGAGAAGUUUAACGGGUUCUGUGAUACCUAAUUUGGAAUUUGGACUUUCUCACUAUGGAAAUUUGGGUCUUACACAUGUAAAACUCCCAACUCAACAAGCUGUCACCUUUGCUGGUUAAGCUUAACCACUCGCUAAAUGCUUUCUUUCUCCUUCCUGCCAUUUUAACUGGUGGAGCUGGCACUUAUCAUAGAGCAGCCUCGGGACCCCGGACAACGCUACUCGUCUCUGGUGAUGGCAAGUGACUGUCCUUGCAGUGUCAGGGAUGACAGUGUCAGUGAGGAAGGUGGCUGAGAAUACAAAUGGUGUCUGUAGCAAACCUCCGCUGUAUCUCUUCCUGCCCCCGCACGGCCUCCCGAGGGACGCCUUUAGUUCUUCACGUACAACAUCUUAAAGUCUAGCUGCUCUUCUACUCCAAACUCACACAUCCAGCGGCCCAACAUCCCCAUGCAGGUGUGUCACAGGAUCUCAGCCUCAACAGGUAAGGAAAACAGUUCUCCAUCUCCCCAGAUGGUGCUCUUUCCUUAUCCUCCACAGACUGAUUCUGAAGCCCAGAUCUUAGGGAUCACCCUAAAUUCUCCCUUCUCCUGCUCAUUCAAUUGUUUAGAAAGACUUUAUUGCCAAUAUCUGUCUUGCACACUUUGUAAUGGUCACCAUCACUUCCUGUUACAGAUUAUUCUUGUGACACUUUGUUUCCUCCACAGAGCUAAGAAGCGAUCCUAUAACAAAGCUUGAAUCAUGACCUGAAUGACAUUCAGCAGCUAUUCAUAUUUUAAAAUAAAACUGAACCCUGUUGUCAUCUUUGACAUACAAGUCCCAAGUUAUGUGUCCUCUGCCUCUCUCUACAGAUCCACCCAGUACCACUAUUGUCCUUGCUUACUGCCCCUCAUCUCAAGCAGAUUGAGUUCUGUUCAUCUCAGGGCCUUUGCACAUGUUCUCCCUUCUGCCUGGAUGCAGUUCUCACCCCCCUUAUGAGUAAAUCCUACCUUGCAUGGCCCUGUUUUCAGCCCGGCCUUCCUGAUACCUGUACCCUAAGUAGCACCCUCCCUGCUUUUCUUUGUUGUGCUCUUGAACUGUGUAUGUAAGACUGCUUUUACAACUUGUGCUUUUAAUUAGUUAUAUCUGUGUUAAGGAUUCUACAUAUGUGGAUGCAACCAUCAGUCAAUGAUAUUUUGAAAAAUUAUUGCAUCUGUGCUUAACACGUACAGACUUUUUCUGGUCCUUAUUCUGUCAGCAAUACAGUAAAACAACUGUUGAGAACCCUAGAAAACAACAGUUUAGUGAAGAAAAAAAAUGAAGUAGAUUUCCAAGAACCAAGAAAGAGCUGACAGCAAAACUAGAAACUACAGAGAAGCUAAGAGGAAGUGAGCACAAUGCAGAGAAAUGAAUAAAGCAGUCUGGAGCUCUAACCCCGCCUCUGGGGAGGCAGACCUGUCUCUGCUAACACCAGGUAAACUCAGAGUGGGUCAGCAGCCCCAGAGAGAGACAAAGGA